UAAAUUAUUUUGUAAAGGAAAAGGAAAAGGUGGUUCACCCAGGGCGAGGCUCGGCCAUUGCACUUCGGUCAUGCUGACCCCUGCGAAUUCCCCAAAUGUGGGAAUCUUGACCGCAUAAUUUCUGCUAGUGGGGGACUGCGUUCGCGCUCUCCCCUG
This is a small nuclear RNA of Anguilla anguilla (European eel), 156 nucleotides long. RefSeq annotates it as U1 spliceosomal RNA. NCBI's taxonomy places the organism in Eukaryota, Metazoa, Chordata, Actinopteri, Anguilliformes, Anguillidae. The transcript has a single exon. The record is from RefSeq and is a predicted model, not a curated record.